GAUGAACGCUAGCGGGAGGCCUAACACAUGCAAGCCGAGCGGUAUUGUUUCUUCGGAAAUGAGAGAGCGGCGUACGGGUGCGGAACACGUGUGCAACCUGCCUUUAUCUGGGGGAUAGCCUUUCGAAAGGAAGAUUAAUACUCCAUAAUAUAUUGAACGGCAUCGUUUAAUAUUGAAAGCUCCGGCGGAUAGAGAUGGGCACGCGCAAGAUUAGCUAGUUGGUGAGGUAACGGCUCACCAAGGCAAUGAUCUUUAGGGGGCCUGAGAGGGUGAUCCCCCACACUGGUACUGAGACACGGACCAGACUCCUACGGGAGGCAGCAGUGAGGAAUAUUGGGUCAAUGGGUGCAAGCCUGAACCAGCCAUCCCGCGUGAAGGACGACUGCCCUAUGGGUUGUAAACUUCUUUUGUAUAGGGAUAAACCUUUCCACGUGUGGAAAGCUGAAGGUACUAUACGAAUAAGCACCGGCUAACUCCGUGCCAGCAGCCGCGGUAAUGUAUCG
RNAcentral lists this ribosomal RNA (503 nucleotides) under uncultured bacterium. Its description in RNAcentral is "bacterial SSU rRNA". It matches the Rfam family "Bacterial small subunit ribosomal RNA", at positions 28 to 530 of the family's 1533-position model. The record is from RNAcentral.